Molecule: ribosomal RNA, 206 nt
Filed under: uncultured bacterium
Lineage: Bacteria
Description: partial 16S ribosomal RNA
Rfam family: Bacterial small subunit ribosomal RNA
Source: RNAcentral
UGCGUAGGCGGCCAGACAAGUCAGAGGUGAAAGGCUACGGCUUAACCGUAGUAAGCCUUUGAAACUGUUUGGCUUGAGUGCAGGAGAGGAAAGUGGAAUUCCUAGUGUAGCGGUGAAAUGCGUAGAUAUUAGGAGGAACACCAGUGGCGAAGGCGACUUUCUGGACUGUAACUGACGCUGAGGCACGAAAGCGUGGGGAGCGAACA